Molecule: ribosomal RNA, 482 nt
Filed under: uncultured bacterium
Lineage: Bacteria
Description: partial 16S ribosomal RNA
Rfam family: Bacterial small subunit ribosomal RNA
Source: RNAcentral
AUUGAACGCUGGCGGCAUGCCUUACACAUGCAAGUCGAACGGUAACAGGUCUUCGGAUGCUGACGAGUGGCGAACGGGCGAGUAAUACAUCGGAACGUGCCCGAUCGUGGGGGAUAACGAAGCGAAAGCUUUGCUAAUACCGCAUACGAUCUACGGAUGAAAGCAGGGGACCGCAAGGCCUUGCGCGAACGGAGCGGCCGAUGGCAGAUUAGGUAGUUGGUGGGAUAAAAGCUUACCAAGCCGACGAUCUGUAGCUGGUCUGAGAGGACGACCAGCCACACUGGGACUGAGACACGGCCCAGACUCCUACGGGAGGCAGCAGUGGGGAAUUUUGGACAAUGGGCGAAAGCCUGAUCCAGUCAUGCCGCGUGCAGGAUGAAGGCCUUCGGGUUGUAAACUGCUUUUGUACGGAACGAAAAGACUCUGGUUAAUACCUGGGGUCCAUGACGGUACCGUAAGAAUAAGCACCGGCUAACUACGUG